This 455-nucleotide ribosomal RNA is filed under the name Gemella morbillorum. Its description in RNAcentral is "bacterial SSU rRNA". It matches the Rfam family "Bacterial small subunit ribosomal RNA", at positions 28 to 470 of the family's 1533-position model. Lineage: Bacteria; Bacillati; Bacillota; Bacilli; Caryophanales; Gemellaceae. The record is from RNAcentral.
GACGAACGCUGGCGGCGUGCCUAAUACAUGCAAGUCGAGCGAAGUUUUUCUGGUGCUUGCACUAGAAAAACUUAGCGGCGAACGGGUGAGUAACACGUAAAGAACCUGCCUCAUAGACUGAGACAACUAUUGGAAACGAUAGCUAAUACCGGAUAACAGUAUUUCUCGCAUGAGAGAUAUUUAAAAGUUGGUUAUGCUAACACUAUGAGAUGGCUUUGCGGUGCAUUAGCUAGUUGGUGGGGUAAAGGCCCACCAAGGCGACGAUGCAUAGCCGACCUGAGAGGGUGAUCGGCCACACUGGGACUGAGACACGGCCCAGACUCCUACGGGAGGCAGCAGUAGGGAAUCUUCCGCAAUGGGCGAAAGCCUGACGGAGCAACGCCGCGUGAGUGAAGAAGGAUUUCGGUUCGUAAAGCUCUGUUGUUAGGGAAGAAUGGAUAUGUAGUAACUAUACA